UAAAAGAUAGAUAAAUUUAGGCUUAAAGCCCUAGACUCAGCUUCAAUCGGACCUUCUGAAUAUUUACCUUCAAUACACUAACUUAUUUUGCUUUCGCAUACUCUUUUGUACAUCUAUUUUCUUUCAAGUACGUAUGCUCUUCUCUUUUUUUUGUUCUUUUCUUUUUUUUUUCAUGAGCAUUUUGCUGUAUGUACUACAAGUUUUUUUUAGC
RNAcentral lists this long non-coding RNA (211 nucleotides) under Gossypium raimondii (Peruvian cotton). RNAcentral's name for it is "long non-coding RNA (GRAI_LNC001242)". Lineage: Eukaryota; Viridiplantae; Streptophyta; Magnoliopsida; Malvales; Malvaceae. The record is from RNAcentral.